RNAcentral lists this ribosomal RNA (205 nucleotides) under Pseudoalteromonas tetraodonis. RNAcentral describes it as "partial 16S ribosomal RNA". It matches the Rfam family "Bacterial small subunit ribosomal RNA", at positions 1334 to 1533 of the family's 1533-position model. RNAcentral also lists the same sequence under 1 other name. The record is from RNAcentral. Lineage: Bacteria; Pseudomonadati; Pseudomonadota; Gammaproteobacteria; Alteromonadales; Pseudoalteromonadaceae.
GCUAGUAAUCGCGUAUCAGAAUGACGCGGUGAAUACGUUCCCGGGCCUUGUACACACCGCCCGUCACACCAUGGGAGUGGGUUGCUCCAGAAGUAGAUAGUCUAACCCUCGGGAGGACGUUUACCACGGAGUGAUUCAUGACUGGGGUGAAGUCGUAACAAGGUAGCCCUAGGGGAACCUGGGGCUGGAUCACCUCCUUAUACGA